AUGCCACCGCGCGCGCGCAUGGAGCGGCCGGCAGCAAGGAUCGUAAUCAUCCUCGUCACUUUGCUCACGCUUUGGAGCAGCGCCGUUGCCGUUGCAUCGCCGUCGGCGGCGCCGGUGCGGGUCGGCGUGGUGCUGGACCUGACGAGCGUGGGGAGGGAGAGGCGCGCCUGCAUUUCCAUGGCGUUGGACGACUUCCACGCCGCUCACGCCGGCUCCGGCGCCGCGCGGAUCGAGCUGCUCGUACGAGACUCGCGCGGUGAUCUGACCACGGCCGCACAUGCUGCCGAGGACCUGAUCAAGAAUAGGCAAGUGCAAGCCAUCAUAUGGGGCCCUGCGACACUAACCAAAGAAGAUCAUGUCACACACCUGGGCCGUCGCCGCAACCAAGUCCCUGUUCUCUCCUUCCCCAGCAUUUCUCCAACAUCGUGUGCCUUUUGGCUGGAAGAUUCCGUAACAGUUCCUUGGGGCUAUGCAAAAUUUGGCUUUACACUUGGAAAUGACAGUAUAACCUUUCCUAACUCACAAACCGAUAGAAGAUACAGAAGAAAACUAGAUACAAGAAAAUCAAGCAAGAGUUGCAGAGGUAAAAGGCUAAAGAUUGCCGUGCCGCACAAACCAGGUUUUCAAGUUUUUGUGACUGUUACUAAUCCUAAUUCCAAGAAACAACAUGUCACUGGCUACAGCAUUGAUAUCUUUGAGGCUGCUAUGAGGAAUUUACAACCUCGUCCGUGCCAUAAAUAUGUUGCGUUCGACGGUACUUAUGAUGAGCUAGUAGGCAACGUGUCUUUGGGGGUGUAUGAUGGAGCAGUAGGCGAUGUGACCAUAACCGUGGAAAGAGAGACCAUAGCCGACUUCACAGUACCAUACACACAGCCUGGUGUGUCUAUGCUUGUGCUUCCUGAGGAUAAAACAGAUGCAAUAAUCUGUUGGGCAUUUGUAAAGCCACUAACAGGGAAGCUUUGGUUUGCAACCAUGGUCUUCUUCUUCUAUACUGGCUUUGUCAUUUGGAUGAUUGAACUACCCAGAAAUCAGGAGUACCAAGGAUCAAGGUCAAGACAGUGUAGCACUGCCCUCUACUUCGUUUUCUCCACUUUGACAUUUUCUCAUGGUCAUACUAUUAGAAGCCCCUUGUCAAAAAUUGUUGUGGUGAUAUGGUGCUUUGUAGUGCUGGUUCUUGUCCAGAGCUACACAGCAAGCCUGUCAUCCUAUCUGACUGCAAAGAGGCUCCGUUUGACAGAUUUUGAGAAGCUCCGGCAGAGUGGUGACUAUGUAGGAUACCAAGAUGGUUCAUUUGUGCGAUCCUUCUUGCUGAAUCAUUACAUCAGUGAAAAGAGGUUAAGGAAGUACACCACGAAAGAAGAAUAUGCUGUUGCUUUACGGAAGGGAUCCAAGAAUGGAGGGGUGUCGGCUAUUGUUGAUGAGAUCCCUUAUUUAACUUCGUUCCUCUCUGACGAUCGGUACAAAAAUGAUUUUACUAUGCUUGGAUCCAUAUACAAGACUCCUGGAUUUGGUUUUGCAUUUCAUCUAGGUUCUCCGCUCGUUCAUAAUCUUUCAACUGCCAUCCUGAACCUAGCAGGAGGGGAUGAGGGAUCAAGAAUCGAAGUGAAAUGGUUUGGCACAACUUCAUCGCCGAUAGAUGCUGGCACAAUCCCAGACACUGAUUCAGCGCCUCUUACUUUAGAAAGCUUCUCUGGUCUCUUCGUCAUCACUGGAUCCAUUUCAACUCUCAUGCUGCUGAUAAGCAUAAUGAGGUUGAUUCAUGCCAGAUGCACUAAGUUGAGAAAGGCUGAUGUGGAAAGUGUCAGCUACAGUGGCACCAACGAUGAGUCCCAUCUGUUGCAGAAUGGCAUAGGUGACAACCCCAGCCCUGAUCAACAAUCCUUCCAUGAAGCUGGCAAUAAUAAUUCCGGGGGCGUCCAUAUGAGCGGCGAAAAUGUUGGAGACACAGAGCCUGACCCAUUGCAGCAGAAUGGCAUGCAUGGUGGCUCUGUCCCUGCAGGACACAUUCAGAUUGAGAUGCACAAUGUCUAA
This 2031-nucleotide ribosomal RNA is filed under the name Triticum aestivum (bread wheat). RNAcentral describes it as "partial small subunit ribosomal RNA". The record is from RNAcentral. Lineage: Eukaryota; Viridiplantae; Streptophyta; Magnoliopsida; Poales; Poaceae.